CGGGAACACGUACAGAACCUUCCUUUAAGCGGGGGAGUAGCCCAUAGAAAUGUGGAUUAAUACCCCAUAGUAAUGUUGUCUGGCAUCAGGAUGAUAUUUAAAGAUUUAUCACUUAAAGAUGGCUGUGCGGCUGAUUAGGUAGUUGGUGUGGGUAACGGCCCACCAAGCCAGCGAUCAGUAACUGGUGUGAGAGCACGACCAGUCACACGGGCACUGAGACACGGGCCCG
Molecule: ribosomal RNA, 229 nt
Filed under: uncultured bacterium
Lineage: Bacteria
Description: partial 16S ribosomal RNA
Rfam family: Bacterial small subunit ribosomal RNA
Source: RNAcentral